Molecule: long non-coding RNA, 359 nt
Organism: Silurus meridionalis
Lineage: Eukaryota; Metazoa; Chordata; Actinopteri; Siluriformes; Siluridae
Exons: 4
Source: RefSeq, a predicted model, not a curated record
CAGUGUUUUACAUCAAGCAAGAAGAGACUCCUGAUUACAUUGCCUGCAAAGCCAGAACUAUGGUUUUUCAUAAUAAAGUGGCGGUUUUUCUUGUUCUUCUUGCCUGGGCAACAACAGAAUUUGCCUGGAACGCAAAUGCACAUCAUGGUUGGCAUAACUGGUCGUGAUUUGGCGUUCACAGUUACAAAUAUAUCGGAAUCAAGAUGGACUGGGCUUCUGCUGAGCAAUACUGUCUGAAUCUUGGUGCAAACUUGGUCUCAAUACAUAGCGAGGCUGAAUAUCGGCAUGUCAAGUCUGUUAUCCGUGCUAAAGACCGCAGUGAGGGUGCAACAUGGAUUGGCCUUUCUUGCUGUGCGAAG